AGUGAACGCUGGCGGUAGGCCUAACACAUGCAAGUCGAACGGCAGCACAGUAAGAGCUUGCUCUUACGGGUGGCGAGUGGCGGACGGGUGAGGAAUACAUCGGCAUCUACUUUUUCGUGGGGGACAACGUAGGGAAACUUACGCUAAUACCGCAUACGACCUACGGGUGAAAGCAGGGGAUCUUCGGACCUUGCGCGAUUGAAUGAGCUGAAGUCGGAUUAGCUAGUUGGCGGGGUAAAGGCCCACCAAGGCGACGAACCGUAGCUGGUCUGAGAGGGUGAUCAGCCACACUGGAACUGAGACACGGUCCAGACUCCUACGGGAGGCAGCAGUGGGGAAUAUUGGGCAAUGGGCGCAAGCCUGAUCCAGCCAUACCGCGUGAGUGAAGAAGGCCUUCGGGUUGUAAAGCCCUUUUGUUGGGAAAGAAAAUCAGCAGGUUAAUACCCCGCUGUUCUGACGGUACCCAAAGAAUAAGCACCGGCUAACUUCGUG
This 492-nucleotide ribosomal RNA is filed under the name uncultured bacterium. RNAcentral describes it as "partial 16S ribosomal RNA". It matches the Rfam family "Bacterial small subunit ribosomal RNA", at positions 29 to 507 of the family's 1533-position model. The record is from RNAcentral.